Uranotaenia lowii is the source of this 825-nucleotide long non-coding RNA. RefSeq lists it as uncharacterized. NCBI's taxonomy places the organism in Eukaryota, Metazoa, Arthropoda, Insecta, Diptera, Culicidae. The record is from RefSeq and is a predicted model, not a curated record. The transcript is spliced from 4 exons.
UGCUGGUGCAAGUUUAAAAAAAACUUCCCUGAAAUUCACCAAGAAAACGCCUUUUCCGUGAGCAACAACCGAUAUAUUCGCCGGGUAAAGUUCAUCGUCGGGAAGUAAACGAGCGUCGUUAUUGACCGAAAAUUGUGGGCUUGUCAUCGGCACCAAAAGUACCGGACUGCUGAUCAGUAAGCUGCAAUUUUAGCGGUGUAAUUUGUCCGCUGUCUUCUGAGUUUUAGACAGGCGGCUAACUCGUUCCUCUAUACGAUGGUGUGGCAGAACUUCCGUUUUGACCUCUAUGUUGCGUUCACGGAACCUUUUCCUGGAAGGCUUCCCGGAAUAAGUUUUUACGUCACCCGAGCGCAAGGUUAUCAAUUUAACAGAGUACGGUUGGAUGAACACCGGUCCGUGUUUCGCGGAUUAGUUCAAGUUGAAAAUGACUUCGACUAUACUAAAUACGCAUCUCUGGAAAGUGAUUAUCAUUUCGCUUCAACUGAUUGCGGAUUUGAUCCUUCAUCGGAAAACGAAAGUAACAACAGUGAGGGGAGCUUGAAGUAAAAUAUGGCUGCUAUCCAAUCCAGUCCAACGCGUUGUUUGGUGGAGCCGACCGAAUUCGACCAACAAGUUGAGUUCAACAUUUUUUCAUUCUUCAGGGAUUAUACUGGAAACAACAACAAAGCUAUCACUGUCGAUUAACUUCAAAUUUUCGGUAUGAGCCGUUUCAAUUAAAAUUAUGAAAAAAACUUCCAAUUUGUGACAGUAUCACAACGUGAAAACGCAGAAUUUUCAUAAUAGUAAGAAAAAGAAUUAACCAUAGACCAUUCAGUUAUUCUUCAA